This 445-nucleotide ribosomal RNA is filed under the name uncultured bacterium. RNAcentral's name for it is "partial 16S ribosomal RNA". It matches the Rfam family "Bacterial small subunit ribosomal RNA", at positions 354 to 796 of the family's 1533-position model. The record is from RNAcentral.
GUGAGGAAUAUUGGUCAAUGGGCGCAAGCCUGAACCAGCCAUCCCGCGUGAAGGAAGAAGGCCCUACGGGUUGUAAACUUCUUUUCUGUUUGAAGAAUAAGCUUGUCGAGACAAGUGAUGCCGGUAGGACAGGAAUAAGCAUCGGCUAACUCCGUGCCAGCAGCCGCGGUAAUACGGAGGAUGCAAGCGUUAUCCGGAUUUAUUGGGUUUAAAGGGUGCGCAGGUGGUUGAAUAAGUCAGUGGUGAAAGUCUGGCGCUUAACGUUAGGAUUGCCAUUGAUACUGUUUGACUUGAAUAUGGAUGAGGUAGGCGGAAUGUGUAGUGUAGCGGUGAAAUGCUUAGAUAUUACACAGAACACCGAUUGCGAAGGCAGCUUACUAAUCCAUUAUUGACGCUGAGGCACGAAAGCGUGGGGAUCAAACAGGAUUAGAAACCCUGGUAGUCC